UACGUAGGGUGCAAGCGUUGUCCGGAAUUAUUGGGCGUAAAGGGCUCGUAGGCGGUCCAUCGCGUCGGGGGUGAAAAGCUGGGGCUUAACCCCAGUCCUGCUUCCGAUACGGGUGGACUAGAGGUAGGUAGGGGAGAUCGGAAUUCCUGGUGUAGCGGUGAAAUGCGCAGAUAUCAGGAGGAACACCGGUGGCGAAGGCGGAUCUCUGGGCCUUACCUGACGCUGAGGAGCGAAAGCAUGGGGAGCAAACAGG
RNAcentral lists this ribosomal RNA (253 nucleotides) under uncultured bacterium. Its description in RNAcentral is "partial 16S ribosomal RNA". It matches the Rfam family "Bacterial small subunit ribosomal RNA", at positions 524 to 776 of the family's 1533-position model. The record is from RNAcentral.